GAUGAAGAACGCAGCGAAAUGCGAUAAGUAAUGUGAAUUGCAGAAUUCAGUGAAUCAUCGAAUCUUUGAACGCACAUUGCGCCCGUCAGUAUUCUGGCGGGCAUGCCUGUUCGAGCGUCAUUACGCCCCUCAAGUCCCCUGUGGACUUGGUGUUGGGGAUCGGCGAGGCUGGUUUUCCAGCACAGCCGUCCCUUAAAUUAAUUGGCGGUCUCGCCGUGGCCCUCCUCUGCGCAGUAGUAAAACACUCGCAACAGGAGCCCGGCGCGGUCCACUGCCGUAAAACCCCCCAACUUUUUAUAGUUGACCUCGAAUCAGGUAGGACUACCCGCUGAACUUACGCAUAUCAAUAAGCGGAGGA
This 358-nucleotide unclassified non-coding RNA is filed under the name soil metagenome. RNAcentral's name for it is "partial contains 5.8S ribosomal RNA, internal transcribed spacer 2, and large subunit ribosomal RNA". The stretch from base 1 to 120 matches the Rfam family "5.8S ribosomal RNA", at positions 35 to 154 of the family's 154-position model. The record is from RNAcentral.